Molecule: small RNA, 77 nt
Filed under: Xanthomonas nasturtii
Lineage: Bacteria; Pseudomonadati; Pseudomonadota; Gammaproteobacteria; Lysobacterales; Lysobacteraceae
Description: sX9 sRNA
Rfam family: Xanthomonas sRNA sX9
Source: RNAcentral
GUGGACCACUCGUAGAUUUCGGUUCCUUCGCGCCGUACACACUUCAGCUGACGACUGCUCGCUACGUUUUGUUAGCC